UACGUAGGGGGCAAGCGUUGUCCGGAUUUAUUGGGCGUAAAGAGCGUGUAGGCGGCCAGGUAGGUCAGCUGUGAAAACUCGAGGCUCAACCUCGAGACGCCGGUUGAAACCAUCUGGCUAGAGUCCGGAAGAGGAGAGUGGAAUUCCUGGUGUAGCGGUGAAAUGCGCAGAUAUCAGGAGGAACACCAAUGGCGAAGGCAGAUCUCUGGGCCGUAACUGACGCUGAGGAGCGAAAGCAUGGGGAGCGAACAGG
This 253-nucleotide ribosomal RNA is filed under the name uncultured bacterium. RNAcentral describes it as "partial 16S ribosomal RNA". It matches the Rfam family "Bacterial small subunit ribosomal RNA", at positions 524 to 776 of the family's 1533-position model. The record is from RNAcentral.